Molecule: small nucleolar RNA, 138 nt
Organism: Tachyglossus aculeatus (Australian echidna)
Lineage: Eukaryota; Metazoa; Chordata; Mammalia; Monotremata; Tachyglossidae
Source: RefSeq, a predicted model, not a curated record
CCCCUCUCAGGGUCACACCUGGAGAGUUUCCAGUACUUUAGCAGUUACGACUAUGGGAGGGAGAGUCAAGCAGAGGUAUAUCCAUUCCACUCCUAGCAUGGGCAGUGGUUAGCGAGUGGAAGGCAAUCUGCUACAAGU